This is a long non-coding RNA of Betta splendens (Siamese fighting fish), 3436 nucleotides long. RefSeq lists it as uncharacterized. The record is from RefSeq and is a predicted model, not a curated record. Lineage: Eukaryota; Metazoa; Chordata; Actinopteri; Anabantiformes; Osphronemidae. The transcript is spliced from 2 exons.
UGCAGGAAGUCCGGCUCGGCUGCCAUCUGCGCUCUGAACAGACGAGGACGAAGUAUCUGCUGGAACCUGGAGCCUCGCUGGGAUGUUUCUCUGCAGGUCAAAGGUCACAGGCUGCUUGUUUGCCCAGAGUCCAGUCGUUACAGGUGGUUUGAGCUCGCUGGGUCUUGGCUGAAGGUACAGCAUUGACUCACACCUUGUUACAUAGAUGAAGCCUCUAGAUCGGAACUGGCUGCUGAUGUUCACUGGAAACGACAACAAGCCAACAUCACAGAGUGAAUGAGUGAAGCACAGAGUCUAAAUCUGGACUUUGGAGUGAAUCUAAAGUUAAACAUUAACAAAACUAAUCCUGUAAAACACUCAGACAGCAGCAGAGUUUUGUCCUCUCUGACCCAGAAUGGGACUCUGGUGUCGGCCUCCUUCUCGUGCUGCAGUCGUUUCUUACAUUUGCUGCCUGGCCUCGUCUCUCCUCUUCUUUUUUGUCUGUUUGGAACCAUACUUUAUUCAGUUAAGGUUAAAGUCGCAGCUAUUUUGCUGAGCAUCCUUCCCUCCUUCACAGUGUCCAUGGUAACUUUUGGCAGUGAGUCAGAAACAAACAACCUCAUAAUUCAGUGCUUACAGUCCAAAGACCAAAGGGCAGAGGAACUUGUGUCCAGUAGAUCAGAUGUUUUUGAACUGGUUCCUGCUGGUUGUCAAACAGUGAAGGCUGAUUCAGCUCAUAUGUGUUUUCUUGAGGCAACAGGCUGAAACGUUUCUAUCUAUCGCACUGACAUCAGACACCAGCAGAGAUGGAUGUUCUCUACAAACCAGAAUUCACCUGAAGCUGACCUGGACAAACUUUAGAGGCAGAACGAACAAAAUGUCCAUGGAACCACAGAAUGUAAAAGUAGAGUAAAAUGUUGUUUAACGCAGCUGCUGAAACAUUAACAACACAAUUAGUAAAGCAAAGAUGUGACUCUUCUCUUUAUUUUUCUUUGUUAGAAAAAUGAGUAGAAAAAUGAACAGAACAAACACAAGCUUAAAACAUCAACAGAACUGUUCAUGCAGAAAUUGAACCUCGGCUGAAGCUCAAAGUUGGUUUCAUACGUUACAUAAAACUAAUACAUCAAUUGGGUCUCAUCUAAACAAAGCACAUUGCCCACGACUGUGGUUCUGUAGCCUGGGAGUUCUGGUUCUGAGCAACAUUUAGGGUCUUGAACUGUUGAACACUGACACCUUCUGAAACACAAAACCUGAUCUGGUCCUUGUAAAGAGCCAGUCCAGUGAUCUGAGGUUCCGGACUCAGGUUUUAUUGCUCUUCUCAUCAGCUUGUUCUAUAAUCAACACCGAUAAAAAACAAAAUCAGAAGGAUUCAGUUGGCGUCAGGGUUAAUUGGGGUUAACCCAGCUGUUUCUGUCUUUUGUCAGAUGAUGAUGCCUUGUCCACUGUGCUAAUGAUAUCAGUGUUUCAUCGGGUGUCAGAUCUGGGAACAGCCAUUAAAGCUAUUCUGGCCUCUGAAGGUUUAUCCCUCUUGUCUCAGCAGCUGAUGGAAACCAGGACGAGGUCCUGGAGAUGCUGCUCAGGUUGUUUCUAAUGAAUCUACUUCAUACAGAGAAGCCACAGGACCCACAGGUCUGACUCUAGCGGGGUCUAUGGUAAACCACAGAGGAUUCUGAGCCCGUCUCUCCUCUCAGACCUCCCUGUCCUGCAUCACGGUGGCCCUUGUUACCACAAUGUCGAAGCAGGUCUCCAUCAUGACGCGUGACUUGCAGAGGUUGACGCAGGACUCCAGGUCUGCUGUGGUCUGAGCCAGAGCCUCUAGGUAUUCCUGGGACUCCCGGUCCAGGUCCUGGUCUACAUCGACUGGAGACAGAACAGGAACAGGAAGGUGUCAACAGGGAUCAAGGCCACGAUCAGAGAGGAAAUCCAGGAAUCAAACAUAGGUCACAGUCAGACUAAGUCAUGGAUGAUUCUCUUCUGUUGCCGUGGCGCUGGUGGUUUCGCUGCAUGUGUUUGACCCAUAUUUGUUUUCACAUCUGACACUGUUUGUGUUGGUGAUUUUUGAGUAACUGAACUGAUUUUCCUAACCUCAAAUUUCUAUUUAACCUUUCUAUUUCAUUUUUCUAUUUAAGGUGUCCAUCAUCCACUUACUUGUAACUGCCUGAUGAUCCCUUACUCUCUGACUCGCCCUCAGCCUCCUAUUGAAUGAAGGCAAUUACGUGCAAUUUCAUUAUUACUGCUACUACUUUACUUGCUAUGCGACAUACACGUCCAAAACACUUGAUUAGACACGGGAACUUUUAAAGAUUGGAAUAUUUCGUUAGAGAAGCUCCGGCGACUGCAGCGAGUGGGCGUGUCUAACUGACUGCUCGCGAGAAUUACCGGAGCGGAGUCAACGUCAGUGACAGCGGGAAAAGUAAAACCCGGAAUGGAGUAAAAAGGCGCCUUCUCCAAGGCCACUUCGGACUGUGAGGGCGAACGGGCUCUGUGUGCUGAGCCGAGCCGCUGGCCAUCGUGUACUCACACUCUCUGCUCCACUGGCUCGGGUGGAGCAUCAGCUGGUGCUUGGCCUCCUCCAGCUCCACCUGCAGCCUCUCGUGUUUGCGCUUCAGCUCUGUGAUGCGCUGCUGCCGCCUCUCCAGCAUCCGCAACCGGGUGUUAAAGUAGAGGAGUCCCUGGGGACCAAACAGACACGGGUCAGAGGAGGGCCGCUGGGUUUAGGGAGGAACCGCCGAGGAGCAACAGCUACAAUAACAACAGCUUUGGACUGCACUAGAUUUCAAUCCAAACAGGCGAAAUAAAACAAACGCAGUUCUCAGGAAGUGAAGCUGUUGUGAUUUAGGCCUCCGACCUGCUGGAGGAGCUUUGUUUUUGGGUCGUGUUCUUGGUUUGGUCAUGUGACUUCUUGUUUCAGUUCCUGUGUGCAAAUAGUGUUCACCUGUGUUUUUUGGUUUAGUAUUUACGUCCUAGUUUGUGUCCGGUUGUUUGUUGGACCAUUGCGUCCUGUUACCAUGACUACUGUGUGUCCUCUGUCAAGGUUUGUUUGUUCUGUGUCUCAUGUUUUGUUGGUUGCAUGUUUACUGUUCUGAUUAUGGUUGAUUUAUUCCCUUGCUCUGGACUGAUCUUUAGUUAUCUAGUUAUCUAUGUGUGUUAGUUUUGCUUUUACUGGUUAUUGACAAUCCUGCAUGUGCAGCGCAGUUUGUGUUUAUUUGUUCAUUUAUUAAACAGCUUAAUGUCAGUCCUGUCUCUGGGUUGUCGCAUUUGGGUCCUCCACACUUGUCUUGUUUGUUGGCCUUAGCAACAGUUUGCCUGCUCAUGUUGAGAGCACUUCGCGUUUAGUUUGCCCCGUUUCUGUAACAAAAGCUGAUAAAGACAAAGACCACAAAGAUGGACACAGUGAAGUCCCAAAGAGCAGAAACAAAGCAAGCAAAAAAAAAAAAAAAGAUGACCAUCGCCAUAC